GGGUCCCACGACAACCAAUCUUCAAUCGAGCUUCCAUAAUGGGACAGGACUCAUCGGUCAGGUCGCUACUCUGAGCUUCCACGACAACUGACCUUCGAUCGAGCUUCUACAAUAAGCGAUCUCCUUUCAGCCUUCUACAAGAACCAGACUUCGAUCGAACUUCCAUAGUGGUUGGAUAUUGGAUGAGCUUCUAUGAUGUUCGGGCUCCAAUAGCUAGAUUCCU
RNAcentral lists this long non-coding RNA (223 nucleotides) under Elaeis guineensis (African oil palm). RNAcentral's name for it is "long non-coding RNA (EGUI_LNC036521)". Lineage: Eukaryota; Viridiplantae; Streptophyta; Magnoliopsida; Arecales; Arecaceae. The record is from RNAcentral.